UUGCUUUAGCAUCACAUAUACAAUAGUUGGAAUUAUAGAAAGAUUAGUAUGAACUAUCUGUCCAAGGAAGACAUGCAGAUUCAUGAAUUGUUCCUUAUUUUU
This 102-nucleotide small nuclear RNA is filed under the name Microcebus murinus (gray mouse lemur). Lineage: Eukaryota; Metazoa; Chordata; Mammalia; Primates; Cheirogaleidae. The record is from RNAcentral.